This 502-nucleotide ribosomal RNA is filed under the name uncultured bacterium. RNAcentral describes it as "partial 16S ribosomal RNA". It matches the Rfam family "Bacterial small subunit ribosomal RNA", at positions 30 to 523 of the family's 1533-position model. The record is from RNAcentral.
AUUGAACGCUGGCGGCAUGCCUUACACAUGCAAGUCGAACGGCAGCACGGGAGCUUGCUCCUGGUGGCGAGUGGCGAACGGGUGAGUAAUAUAUCGGAACGUGCCCUGGAGUGGGGGAUAACUAGUCUAAAGAUUAGCUAAUACCGCAUACGAUCUAAGGAUGAAAGUGGGGGAUCGCAAGACCUCAUGCUCGUGGAGCGGCCGAUAUCUGAUUAGUUAGUUGGUGAGGUAAAGGCUCACCAAGGCAUCGAUCAGUCGCUGGUCUGAGAGGACGACCAGCCACACUGGGACCGAGACACGGCCCAGACUCCUACGGGAGGCAGCAGUGGGGAAUUUUGGACAAUGGGCGCAAGCCUGAUCCAGCAAUGCCGCGUGAGUGAAGAAGGCCUUCGGGUUGUAAAGCUCUUUUGUCAGGGAAGAAACGGUGAGGGUUAAUACCUCUUGCUAAUGACGGUACCUGAAGAAUAAGCACCGGCUAACUACGUGCCAGCCGCCGCGGUAA